AUUUUGAAAUCAGACAACUUAAGUCUUUGUUUGAAUACACAAAAUUUGAAAAACAACAAACCUAUUGAUCAAACUUAGUACUGUCUUUUUAUAUGUAGAGUACCAUAAGCUGCUCUGGCAUGGUGGACGUUAUUAAAUUUUCCAGUCAUUCACUGUCGUGUUAGAUUCAGAGCCAUAAGAGAGUGAAAGCUAGUAUAAGUUUAGAUCUCUUCAUUUUUUCUCACAGAGCCAAAAAGGAGUGAAAUUUAACAGUCUGCGAGAAGGCGAAUCCUGCUAAAGGUAAUCAUCAUCGGCGACAGCGGGCAAGGCAAUUCAAUAUUUCGUCAUUAUAUCAGGUCCUCCACUGCGAACUACACAAUGUCAUUUUUCACUGUGUCACUGAAGAGUUGAUCUUGCCCAACUUGCUCUUUGGUUAGUUUAUUUGCUAAGACAAUAUCUUCAGGAAUUACAGGUUACCAGGGGACAGGGCUACUUGGAGACUCCGGAGACUGGUAUUGGUACUGGUACGACUAAUUUUCAAAAAUAGGAGAUGGGAGUAUUUGGAGAUGCCAAUUUUUUUAAAGUAUAAUUUAAUAAUUUCCAUAACAUAUCAUGACAGAGAACUUUGAAAACAAGAACAGUGGUAAAGUUUAACAUUAACUUUAAAAUUGAACAAAAAUUGAAAUUAAAAUUGCUUAUUUUGCUGAUACC
Molecule: long non-coding RNA, 690 nt
Organism: Cryptomeria japonica (Japanese cedar)
Lineage: Eukaryota; Viridiplantae; Streptophyta; Pinopsida; Cupressales; Cupressaceae
Exons: 3
Source: RefSeq, a predicted model, not a curated record